Molecule: ribosomal RNA, 324 nt
Filed under: Glomus sp. 7 FW-2016
Lineage: Eukaryota; Fungi; Glomeromycota; Glomeromycetes; Glomerales; Glomeraceae
Description: SSU rRNA
Rfam family: Eukaryotic small subunit ribosomal RNA
Source: RNAcentral
AGCAGCCGCGGUAAUUCCAGCUCCAAUAGCGUAUAUUAAAGUUGUUGCAGUUAAAAAGCUCGUAGUUGAAUUUCGGGAUCGAUGGGUCGGUCAUGCCCUCGGUAUGUACUGAUCCCAUUGGUUCUCACCUUCUAAGGAACCAUGAUGUCAUUCGGUUGAUGUUGUGGGGAAUUAGGACUGUUACCUUGAAAAAUUAGAGUGUUUAAAGCAGGCCAACGCUUGAAUACAUUAGCAUGGAAUAAUGAAAUAGGACAUCCGAUUCUAUUUUGUUGGUUUCUAGGAUCGAUGUAAUGAUUAAUAGGGAUAGUUGGGGGCAUUAGUAUU